CUGGAAUGGUUCCUGACUAAAAUCUAUAUGGCCUCUGGAUUGGACUGCGGCCGAUCAGGCUGUUGGUGAGGUAAUGGCCCACCAAACCUGUAACCGGUACGGGCUCUGAGAGGAGGAGCCCGGAGAUGGGCACUGAGACAAGGGCCCAGGCCCUAUGGGGCGCAGCAGGCGCGAAACCUCUGCAAUAGGCGAAAGCCUGACAGGGUUACUCUGAGUGACUUUCGCUAAGAAAGUCUUUUGGCACCUCUAAAAAGGGUGUAGAAUAAGGGGUGGGCAAGUCUGGUGUCAGCCGCCGCGGUAAUACCAGCACCUCGAGUGGUCAGGACGUUUAUUGGGCCUAGAGCAUCCGUAGCCGGCUUUGCAAGUCUUCGGUUAAAUCCACCUGCUCAACAGAUGGGCUGCUGGAGAUACUACAAAGCUAGGGAGUGGGAGAGGCAGACGGUAUUCAGUGGGUAGGGGUAAAAUCCUCUGAUCCAUCGAGGACCACCAGUGGCGAAGGCGGUCUGCCAGAACACGUUCGACGGUGAGGGAUGAAAGCUGGGGGAGCAAACCGGAUUAGAUACCCGGGUAGUCCCAGCUGUAAACGAUGCAGACUCGGUGAUGAAUUGGCUUUAUGCCAAUUCAGUGCCGCAGGGAAGCCGUUAAGUUUGCCGCCUGGGGAGUACGGUCGCAAGACUGAAACUUAAAGGAAUUGGCGGGGGAGCACCACAAGGGGUGAAGCCUGCGGUUCAAUUGGACUCAACGCCGGA
This 749-nucleotide ribosomal RNA is filed under the name uncultured archaeon. Its description in RNAcentral is "bacterial SSU rRNA". It matches the Rfam family "Archaeal small subunit ribosomal RNA", at positions 170 to 922 of the family's 1478-position model. The record is from RNAcentral.